This 204-nucleotide non-coding RNA is filed under the name unclassified sequences. RNAcentral's name for it is "raiA RNA". It matches the Rfam family "raiA RNA". The record is from Rfam by way of RNAcentral.
AAAAGCCGUGUUUGUGGUUGAAAGUCGAUGCCAGUCGCAGGCAAAACGAUCCACGUAAGCGGGGCAAAGCCCCCGUGAGCAUGGUGCGGCUUAGAAGUAAGUCCGGCCGGGAAACCGAGAGAGGCAGUAGUGGGGAGCAUUUCGCUUAGGAGCGAACCCUCCAGCCGGCGAGUGUGGGGUCAAAGACCAGGUCAGGCGGCUAUG